RNAcentral lists this long non-coding RNA (227 nucleotides) under Setaria italica (foxtail millet). Its description in RNAcentral is "long non-coding RNA (SITA_LNC003760)". Lineage: Eukaryota; Viridiplantae; Streptophyta; Magnoliopsida; Poales; Poaceae. The record is from RNAcentral.
GGAAUAUCAUCAUCACUAUGAUUGCCUCUAGGGCAUACCUCCAACAGUCUCCCACUUGCACUAGAGUCAAUCUAGAAGGUACCUAAUACCCAUAGCUCUUACAUGCGCAUCAUGCUUAGCCUGCGGGAGUGGUUUUGUCAACGGAUCAGAAAUGUUCAGAUCCGUGUGUAUUUUGCAUAUCUUGAUCUCACCCCGGUUAACGAAGUCUCGAAUGAGAUGAAAUCGCC